UACGGAGGAUGCAAGCGUUAUCUGGAUUUAUUGGGUUUAAAGGGUGCGUAGGCGGAUAUGUAAGUCAGCGGUGAAACUCACAGGCUCAACCUGUGCCGUGCCGUUGAAACUGUGUAUCUGGAAUGCGGAUGCUGUGGGAGGAAUGUGUAGUGUAGCGGUGAAAUGCAUAGAUAUUACACAGAACACCGAUUGCGAAGGCAUCUCACAAAGCCGUUAUUGACGCUGAGGCACGAAAGUGUGGGGAU
This 245-nucleotide ribosomal RNA is filed under the name uncultured prokaryote. RNAcentral describes it as "partial 16S ribosomal RNA". It matches the Rfam family "Bacterial small subunit ribosomal RNA", at positions 524 to 768 of the family's 1533-position model. The record is from RNAcentral.